Vigna umbellata (rice bean) is the source of this 925-nucleotide long non-coding RNA. RefSeq lists it as uncharacterized. The record is from RefSeq and is a predicted model, not a curated record. NCBI's taxonomy places the organism in Eukaryota, Viridiplantae, Streptophyta, Magnoliopsida, Fabales, Fabaceae.
UGCCGCCCUUGUAGGGUUAAACACCAAACCGCCAUUGUAUUAGUCUUCUUUUACAAAACUACCCCUCUAUUAUUGUAAAGAGACAGAUAACAAACAGCUUUGCCCCACCGAUAAAUGAGCCGCACCUAACAUUACACGUCACCAAAUCCUCACCGUCAACCCAACAAAUCUCAACCGUUCGAUCCCAAAAUCCCAUUAUAAAACAGAGCUUAGGUUCUCUACCUUCUUUCAUUCAGCGCCUCUUCUUCUCAGCCUUAUCUUCAACAUUCUCCCAAACCUCCUUUCUGCAAAUUCAGAUCUAUUAUCUCUCGUACCUCUGAGGCUUCUUUCGUCACCGGAUCGGGAUGGAUCUGAUCAAGAUCUACAUGUCCAUGUGGUUUCGGCUUGGUUCGAUCAACUUUCCGUUGGGGUUUUACUCUGGUUAGGUUCGGUCUUACGUUAUUAGCGUCUUGAUUUUGUUAUCUUCAAUUUAUAUUAUCCGCGUUUCAUAGAUCCGGUGCAUGGAGACGUAGAUCUAUGCAUAGAGGUACGUGAGAUAAUCCAUGGGAAGAAAGCUGAUCCAACUAUAGAACGAUGGGUCCAUCUACUGACGCUCUUUGGAUCGUUAUGGAUGGAUGCGUGUAUGGAUGAUUUGGAUUAUUCAAGAAGCAGUGUUACCUCCUAGGCUGCAUAUGUUGCUGGUCUCAGAUGUAAAAUUAUUGUAUGAUGUGAAGCUUUGAGGUGGAAAAUAUGUGGAUGUAGGAGAUUUCGGGAUGAACGACCUCAAAACGAUGAGUCGUUUGGGGUUGGGAGUCCUGAGUGAUCUUGUCAUCCGACCUUUGCCAUGUCAGGUGCGCUUGCUUGGCAGGUCAAAUAAUUGUUAAUAAAAAAAGUUUUGUUGGUUUCGGGAGAGAUCGCACGGGAGUUGCCCGGGAUCUCUCCCUCG